RNAcentral lists this ribosomal RNA (1220 nucleotides) under Scolopendra dehaani. RNAcentral describes it as "16S ribosomal RNA". The stretch from base 787 to 1135 matches the Rfam family "Archaeal large subunit ribosomal RNA", at positions 2150 to 2716 of the family's 2987-position model. Lineage: Eukaryota; Metazoa; Arthropoda; Chilopoda; Scolopendromorpha; Scolopendridae. The record is from RNAcentral.
UUUAUCUUUAGGUUAAUUUGCAAUUGAGAUAAAAAUAAUUUUGUAUAAGUAUAUUAAACAGAAAUUUUAUUUAAUAAAUGUAUGUAUAUAUAUAUAUAGUGAAUAGUACUGUAUAGGAAAAAACAAAAUUUUGAGAAUUAUAGUUUAACUCUAUUACCUUUUGUAUCAGGGUUAUUUAAAAUAUGAGUAUGAUAUAUGGAUCCCGAAUUUUUAUGAGUUAGUUUUAUGUAAAUAUUGUGUUUCAUAAUAAUUUUAAUAUAGGGCUGGAGGUGAAAUGUCAUUCGAAUAGGAUUAUAUCUGGUUAAUAAAAUUUUAUUUUAAAUAUUAUAUUAUGUUUUUAAUAUUUUUUGUGCAGGGAUAAGCUUGUAUUAUUAUUAUUUAUAAGUAUAAUAGUAUAGGUUUGAAAGUAACCAUUAUAAUAAAAGAUUUAUAUCUUUUUAGUAUUGAUUUUUUAUUAAUUUUUAUUUGGGUUUUUUUAUAGUUAAUAAGUGGAAAUAAUGAAUGAAUUAGUAAGGGUAUUAUAUUUUUAUUAUUUAGUAUUAUAUGUUUAUUAGGAAUUCGGCAAUAAUUUUUCUUGCCUGUUUAUCAAAGACAUGGUCUUAUGGAUGUAGUAUGUAAGAUUUGACCUGCUCUAUGUAUAAUAAAUGGCCGCGGUAUAUUGACCGUGCGAAGGUAGCAUAAUAAUUAGGCUAUUAAUUGUGGUCUUGAAUGAAAGGUUGGACGAGGGAAAUACUUUCUUAUUUGCAUUGUUGAAUUUAAAUAAUUAGUAAAAAUGCUAAUAUAAUGUAAAAAGACGAGAAGACCCUGUUGAGUUUUAUAUUUAAAAUAAAUAUAUAUAUAUAUUGGGGUUUGUUUUGUUUUAUAAUAUUUGAUUGGGGCGAUUAGAUAAAUAAACAAUUUAUUAUUAUGAUUAUAAUUUUUUGAUCCGCUAUUAGUGAUUGAUAGAAUAAAUUACCACAGGGAUAACAGCAUAAUUUGAUUGGAGAGUUCUUAUUGAUAUUCAAGUUUGUGACCUCGAUGUUGGAUUAAGAUUCCUUCUAGGUGCAGGUGCUUAAGUAGGUAGACUGUUCGUCUAUUAAAUUCUUACAUGAUCUGAGUUCAGACCGGCGUGAGCCAGGUUGGUUUUUAUCUUUUAUAUUAGAGUGAUUAUUAUAGUACGCAAGGAUUUAAUAAUCUUAAUUUUUAAUUUUAAUUAUAUUUUAUUUGGAAGAUAGCAUAGU